RNAcentral lists this ribosomal RNA (492 nucleotides) under uncultured bacterium. RNAcentral describes it as "partial 16S ribosomal RNA". It matches the Rfam family "Bacterial small subunit ribosomal RNA", at positions 29 to 507 of the family's 1533-position model. The record is from RNAcentral.
AGUGAACGCUGGCGGUAGGCCUAACACAUGCAAGUCGAACGGCAGCACAGUAAGAGCUUGCUCUUACGGGUGGCGAGUGGCGGACGGGUGAGGAAUACAUCGGAAUCUACUUUUUCGUGGGUGAUAACGUAGGGAAACUUACGCUAAUACCGCAUACUACCUACGGGUGAAAGCAGGGGAUCUUCGGACCUUUCGCGAUUGAAUGAGCCGAUGUCGGAUUAGCUAGUUGGCGGGGUAAAGGCCCACCAAGGCGACGAUCCGUAGCUGGUCUGAGAGGAUGAUCAGCCACACUGGAACUGAGACACGGUCCAGACUCCUACGGGAGGCAGCAGUGGGGAAUAUUGGACAAUGGGCGCAAGCCUGAUCCAGCAAUACCGCGUGGGUGAAGAAGGCCUUCGGGUUGUAAAGCCCUUUUGUUGGGAAAGAAAAGCAGCAGGUUAAUACCCCGCUGUUCUGACGGUACCCAAAGAAUAAGCACCGGCUAACUUCGUG